GCUAUAUGUUUUAGGAAUUUUUUUUUAUUUUUUAUGGAAAACCUUCUAAUGACCAUCGUACAACUUAUAUGGGAGUAGGUAUGGGUGUUUGUAUGGGUGUUUGUAUAAGAUUUAUAUGGGUAUUUGUAUAAGUUUAUACAGAGUAUGUGUAUUUGUAUGAGAAUUGUAUGUGAGUUUGUAUGAGGGUUUUAAUGACUGUGUGUAUGGGUGUUUGUAUGAGUUUUG
Molecule: long non-coding RNA, 225 nt
Filed under: Linum usitatissimum (flax)
Lineage: Eukaryota; Viridiplantae; Streptophyta; Magnoliopsida; Malpighiales; Linaceae
Description: long non-coding RNA (LUSI_LNC005941)
Source: RNAcentral